RNAcentral lists this ribosomal RNA (230 nucleotides) under uncultured bacterium. RNAcentral describes it as "partial 16S ribosomal RNA". It matches the Rfam family "Bacterial small subunit ribosomal RNA", at positions 562 to 791 of the family's 1533-position model. The record is from RNAcentral.
AAAGAGCGCGUAGGCGGGUCUUUAAGUGAGGGGUGAAAGGUUUGGGCUCAACCCAGACACUGCCUUUCAUACUGGAGACCUUGAGUACAGGAGAGGCGAGUGGAAUGGUCGGUGUAGCGGUGAAAUGCGUAGAUAUCGAUCGGAACACCCAUGGCGAAGGCAGCUCGCUGGUCUGUAACUGACGCUGAGGCGCGAAAGCGUGGGGAGCAAACAGGAUUAGAUACCCCAGU